UGGCACUUUUUAAGAUCGGUUAUAAAAUAGCCGAUCUUAAAAGUACUUUUAAGAUCGGUUAUUUUAUGACCGAUUUUAAAAGUGCUA
RNAcentral lists this microRNA precursor (87 nucleotides) under Cajanus cajan (pigeon pea). Its description in RNAcentral is "miRNA gene-KK1_041597". The record is from RNAcentral. Lineage: Eukaryota; Viridiplantae; Streptophyta; Magnoliopsida; Fabales; Fabaceae.